GGAAUUUUGUUGAAAGCACCUAGUGAUUGUGAUUGUCUAACGCAUUAUUAUACUUAUUAUUAUUAUAUUGUAUUUGUGGGGAAUAACGGAUGUAUGUAACGCACAGAAGGAAACGUUUCCGACCCCAAAUAGUAUAUAUAUUCUUGAUCAGCAUUAAUAGCCGAGUCUAUGUCUCUCUGUCCGUCUGUCCGUCCGUCUUGUUGAGCGCCUGGAUCUCAGAGACCAUAAAAGCUAGAGCCACCAAAUUUUGCAUCCCGACUUCUGUAUGCUCACACUGUUACAAGUGUAUUUAAAAAAUGAGCACCGCCCCUAAACCCACCCUGUCGCGCAGCUUUUGUUGCUUGUUUCACAUUCUCUCAUUCACCGCGUCUCUGCCUCUGCCUCUGCCAUGACUCUGCAGUGUGUGGCUCUAAGGAAGGGUGGCGAGCUAAAGCAGCGUGUUGGCGUGAGAAGUGUUGUGAUGUAGAUGACAGAUGAAAAAAAAUUUUAAAUUUGACAAAAAAAACGCUAAGGUACAGAUGUAGUACUGAGUGCAGGGUAUAAAAGUUUUGACGCGUAAGAAGCGUCUCACACGUCCCUUUUCGUUUUGAUUUACCAAUUAGCAGUCGACUUGUAAGAAUCUCUGACGAAAUGGCUUUGUUUUCGACUGAACUCCGAGCAGGGAUGUGCGAAAAGUGGUCGAGGCAGUUUCACAUGCUGUACACCUUGAUAGAGCAUCUCGGACUCGUAGGUCUCAAUAAAGAGUCAAAUUGAUCGGAGUGUUUACAUUGCCAAUUCUCAGGUGCAACAUUUAUAAAUACUAAGUACUAAUAAAAUUAAUUGGACAUAAAGGUGUGAAUAUUCAUUAUACACUACUCUGUACGUGGGCUUUUCGCGGGUCCGUCCGUGAAAUGCCUGGAGAGCACGUGUCCACCACGAGAAUAGCUUCCCGUUCUAUGUGUGGUCUCUUUAUUAUUCAGGCAGGUUGAGCUAUCUAAUCUUCCAAUUAGUUUUCAGCACAACAUCAAAGUUUAUGGAACAGGUUCACAUCCAUCAAACAUGAAAUAGUUCAAUAAAACUUAACUUUUCAUUUUUUCAAACCAAUUUCAGUUUUAAUGCCAGAACUGAAUGCAUAUUUCAUUUUCUGCGACUGCUACGUUUACUGCUGACUGCUGCAAGAACCGGCAAGAUUUAUUCGAAAUAAAAUCUGAAUUUCUCGACCGGGAAUCCGAUAUGCAAAUAAAUGCAAAUUAGCUCUCGGGAACACCCGAAAAUCGUUGUUUUUGUCGACAAAGUUCAGCGGCUUGGGGCUCUGGCGCCACGAAUGUUGCUUACCUUGCACGAGAAAGUAGCUGACCUUGACGGCAUUCGGAGUAUUCGGAGACUACCCUGCUAGAAAGCGGAUCAGCGGCUGCAGAGGGGGCGGGACACCUAUCUAAUUACGGACGGAGG
This 1431-nucleotide long non-coding RNA is filed under the name Drosophila guanche. Lineage: Eukaryota; Metazoa; Arthropoda; Insecta; Diptera; Drosophilidae. The record is from RNAcentral.